CCUACGGGAGGCUGCAGUGGGGAAUAUUGCACAAUGGGCGCAAGCCUGAUGCAGCCAUGCCGCGUGUGUGAAGAAGGCCUUCGGGUUGUAAAGCACUUUCAGCGGGGAGGAAGGCGUUAAGGUUAAUAACCUUGUCGAUUGACGUUACCCGCAGAAGAAGCGCCGGCUAACUCCGUGCCAGCAGCCGCGGUAAUACGGAGGGUGCAAGCGUUAAUCGGAAUUACUGGGCGUAAAGCGCACGCAGGCGGUCUGUCAAGUCGGAUGUGAAAUCCCCGGGCUCAACCUGGGAACUGCAUUCGAAACUGGCAGGCUAGAGUCUUGUAGAGGGGGGUAGAAUUCCAGGUGUAGCGGUGAAAUGCGUAGAGAUCUGGAGGAAUACCGGUGGCGAAGGCGGCCCCCUGGACAAAGACUGACGCUCAGGUGCGAAAGCGUGGGGAGCAAACAGGAUUAGAUACCCGAGUAGUC
This 465-nucleotide ribosomal RNA is filed under the name uncultured Klebsiella sp. Its description in RNAcentral is "bacterial SSU rRNA". It matches the Rfam family "Bacterial small subunit ribosomal RNA", at positions 338 to 795 of the family's 1533-position model. The record is from RNAcentral. Lineage: Bacteria; Pseudomonadati; Pseudomonadota; Gammaproteobacteria; Enterobacterales; Enterobacteriaceae.